Molecule: ribosomal RNA, 436 nt
Filed under: uncultured bacterium
Lineage: Bacteria
Description: partial 16S ribosomal RNA
Rfam family: Bacterial small subunit ribosomal RNA
Source: RNAcentral
AACGAACGCUGGCGGCAUGCCUAACACAUGCAAGUCGAACGAGAUCCUUCGGGGUCUAGUGGCGCACGGGUGCGUAACGCGUGGGAAUCUGCCCUUAGGUUCGGAAUAACAGUUAGAAAUGACUGCUAAUACCGGAUGAUGACGUUAAGUCCAAAGAUUUAUCGCCUGAGGAUGAGCCCGCGUAGGAUUAGCUAGUUGGUGUGGUAAAGGCGCACCAAGGCGACGAUCCUUAGCUGGUCUGAGAGGAUGAUCAGCCACACUGGAACUGAGACACGGCCCAGACUCCUACGGGAGGCAGCAGUGGGGAAUAUUGGACAAUGGGCGCAAGCCUGAUCCAGCAAUGCCGCGUGAGUGAUGAAGGCCUUAGGGUUGUAAAGCUCUUUUACCCGAGAUGAUAAUGACAGUAUCGGGAGAAUAAGCCCCGGCUAACUCCGUG